ACGUAGUUUGAUCAGUGGCUCGAGGACGACGCUAGCGACAGGCCUAACACAUGCAAGUCGAGGGGCAGCGGGGAUGAAGCUUGCUUCAUCUGCCGGCGACCGGCGCAAGGGUGCGUAACGCGUGAGCAACUUGCCCGUUUCUGGGGAAUAACCGGUGGAAACGCCGACUAAUACCCCCAUAGUAUAGCAGAGAGGCAUCUUUUUGCUAUUAAAGAAUUUCGGAAACGGAUAGGCUCGCGUGACAUUAGCUAGAUGGCGGGGUAACGGCCCACCAAGGCUCCGAUGGGUAGGGGUUCUGAGAGGAAGGUCCCCCACACUGGAACUGAGACACGGUCCAGACUCCUACGGGAGGCAGCAGUGAGGAAUAUUGGUCAAUGGAGGCAACUCUGAACCAGCCAAGUAGCGUGAGGGAUGACUGCCCUACGGGUUGUAAACCUCUUUUGUCGGGGAAUAAACUGCGCCACGCGUGGCGCCCUGCAUGUACCCGCAGAAUAAGGACCGGCUAAUUCCGUG
Molecule: ribosomal RNA, 513 nt
Filed under: uncultured bacterium
Lineage: Bacteria
Description: bacterial SSU rRNA
Rfam family: Bacterial small subunit ribosomal RNA
Source: RNAcentral